Molecule: ribosomal RNA, 372 nt
Filed under: uncultured organism
Description: partial 16S ribosomal RNA
Rfam family: Bacterial small subunit ribosomal RNA
Source: RNAcentral
GUACUGUGCGAACGUUAUUCGGAAUCACUGGGCUUAAAGGGUGCGUAGGCGGUUGAUUAAGUAGGGUGUGAAAGCUCUCGGCCUAACCGAGGAAUUGCGCUCUAAACUGAUCAACUUGAGUGAGAUAGGGGUGUGUGGAACUUCCAGUGGAGCGGUGAAAUGUGUUGAUAUUGGAAGGAACGCCGGUGGCGAAAGCGGCACACUGGGUCUCAACUGACGCUGAGGCACGAAAGCCAGGGUAGCGAACGGGGGAUUAGAUACCCCGGUAGUCCUGGCUGUAAACGAUGAGUACUAGACGGGAGGGGCUUCGGCCCAUCCGGUCGCAGCGAAAGCAAUAAGUACUCCGCCUGGGGGAGUAUGGUCGCAAGGCUG